CCUACGGGAGGCAGCAGUGGGGAAUAUUGGACAAUGGGGGGAACCCUGAUCCAGCGACGCCGCGUGAGUGAAGAAGUAUUUCGGUAUGUAAAGCUCUAUCAGCAGGGAAGAAAGAAAUGACGGUACCUGACUAAGAAGCCCCGGCUAACUACGUGCCAGCAGCCGCGGUAAUACGUAGGGGGCAAGCGUUAUCCGGAUUUACUGGGUGUAAAGGGAGCGUAGACGGCACGUAAAGUCUGGUGUUAAAGGCAGAGGCUCAACUUCUGUACGGCACUGGAUACUUGCGAGCUAGAAUGCGGUAGAGGUAAAGGGAAUUCCUGGUGUAGCGGUGAAAUGCUUAGAUAUCAGGAGGAACAUCGGUGGCGUAAGCGCUUUACUGGGCCGUAAUUGACGCUGAGGAACGAAAGCCAGGGUAGCAAAUGGGAUUAGAUACCCUAGUAGUC
This 443-nucleotide ribosomal RNA is filed under the name uncultured bacterium. RNAcentral describes it as "partial 16S ribosomal RNA". It matches the Rfam family "Bacterial small subunit ribosomal RNA", at positions 338 to 795 of the family's 1533-position model. The record is from RNAcentral.